GACUUCUUAGCUCAGUGGUAGAGCGUGAGAUUCCAGUCCUCAAGGUCAUCCGUUCAAUCCGGGUAGAGGUCA
RNAcentral lists this transfer RNA (72 nucleotides) under Rhizoctonia solani AG-1 IA. RNAcentral describes it as "tRNA-Trp (CCA) (tRNA-Trp-CCA-1-1)". It matches the Rfam family "tRNA". Rfam says of the family: Transfer RNA (tRNA) molecules are approximately 80 nucleotides in length. Their secondary structure includes four short double-helical elements and three loops (D, anti-codon, and T loops). The record is from RNAcentral. Lineage: Eukaryota; Fungi; Basidiomycota; Agaricomycetes; Cantharellales; Ceratobasidiaceae.